Long non-coding RNA from Sapajus apella (tufted capuchin), 7501 nucleotides. RefSeq lists it as uncharacterized. Lineage: Eukaryota; Metazoa; Chordata; Mammalia; Primates; Cebidae. The transcript is spliced from 2 exons. The record is from RefSeq and is a predicted model, not a curated record.
UAUUCAUUCAUUCCUCAGUGAACAUUUGGGUUGCUUUUGCCUUUUGUCUAUUGUGAAUCAUGCUGCUAUGAAAGUGAGCGUACAAAUACUCUGAGAUCUGGCUUUCACUACUUUUGGGUAUAUAGCCAGAAGUGAAAUUGCUGGAUCAUAUGGUAAUUCUAUUGUUAUUUUUUUUGAGGGAACUCCCCCCUCCCCACUGUUAUCCAUAGCUGCUGUAACAUUUUACAUUCUCACCAACAGAGCACACACAUUCUAGUUUCCCCAUUUUCUCUCCAGCAUUUGUCAUUUCCUGAUUUUUUGAUAGUGAUCAUCCUAAUGGAUGUGAGGUGGUAUCUCAUUGUGGUUUUGGUGAAAUAAUUUCUUUCUGGAGCAUAGAGGCCAACUAGUAAUAAGUAAACACCUUUUCUUAAAUAUGAUAUUCCUCAGCAGUUUCAUUUUCUAAGUUGAAGGACUAAAAAAUGUGUUAUCAAGAGCUGUGGUGGGGGAAGUCAAAUAUUUUCCCCCAAAACUUUACCCAUCUGUGGCAAUCCUACUUCCAAGAACAGAGAAAAAGGUUAGUCUUUACCAGUAUGUUCCAGCUUUGGCUUUUAUCUUUCUUGAAGGUUAAGUUUUUCUAUUUUAAAAUGAACUAACAUUCUUACUAAAUAUAAAGUGGGCUCUUUGUUCCACAUUUGCAAACACAGUCUCUUGUAACUGCUGUAGAAAAAAAAUCAAUACUUUCCUUGCAGGCUGCUCUGUGUGCAUAAAUAUAAAACUCCAGCAGCCCAAGUAGCAGGUGCCCUAAAUACUUCAAAACAAGACCAUGUGGCCAACAAUUAGAGAUGGAGAAAGUAUACUAAAUCCGUGGUUUAAAAAGAAAUCAUUUAAAUGAAGUUUAUUUUGCUGUUGCUGUACAUAGUUCAAAAUUGCUUUGCUGGUUCAGUAGGAAUUAAUUUUCUGUGGUUGGAGAGCCUGUUCAGGUUUGCAGAUUCCAUGUUCCAAAAGUGUGUUUUCAGCAAAUAAGGCUAUUCUCAUGCAUUCCUGCACAAUGACUUAAAUAUAGGUGUGGCUUCUCUGACCUUCUUACUGUUAAUGGAAAAAUCAGGCUACAGAAUGUAGUAUAUGGACCUUGUUUGAAUUGUGAUUGUAAGAAACCAGCUAUAAAUGACAUAUUUUAAAACUAUCAAAGGAAAUUUUAAUAUAGGCUGGGUUUUAAAUUAAUUUAAGGAAUUAUUAUUUGUCUUUGUUAAGUGUGAUAAAGGCAUUCUGAAUCUGUAUUUGUAAGAAGUCCUAUCUGUUAAAAAUGCUUAAUGAUGUGUGUACAAGUAGACUUAUACAAUGUCUCAGACCUGCUUUAAAGUACUCUAGAAAAAGAAAUAGUUGAUGUCUUAGGUAAAAUGAGGACAAGAGUUUUGAUAGUUAUUGAAGCCAGAUGAUGUAUAUAUGGGAAUUUCUUUCAUUUUUAACUAUUUUCUCUAGUUUUAUGUACCUUUGAAAUUUUUCAUAGUAAAAACAAAAUUUUUCAGAAGAAAAUUUGAUCAUAUCCAUAAGUGGAAGAGAUUUUUUUUAAAAGAUUCAAAAGUACUCAUACAAAUGCAUGCUAAUAUGGUCUUUAUUAGAAAGGCCAAGAGAUGCCAGGCUACAAAACGACUAAGAUAGUAACAUAGAAGCUCUGAAUCUCAUCUACCAACUCAAGCAUGGGAGAACUAUUCAGGCUGCCAGGAAAUGUAUUUUCAUUUUGUAUUUCCUCUCUCUUCCAUCCUCCUUUUCCCACACACACCCAAAAGCUGUGCAGCGGUUCAUGUCUUACACAGUGUCAAGGCAGCAGAGAGGGCACAGCUGGGGCUCUGCUGGGGCACAGGCUCUGUGGCUGGACUUUGAGUCCCUGUGGCCAUCUCCUGGGGCAGGGUUAUGGAACAAAUGUAAGACCUGUUCAUCUCAGGGCUUGUGAGCCUUUGUCCCAACAGAAAUUUUCUGCCUCCUUUUCUCUUUCUACCCCCUCAGUUCCCAGGACAUCUUAAUAAGAUGUUCAGUGGGUUUAGGCUAUUUUAAAUGACAGUAAGAGUGAUUUGAGUUCAGGUUGCAUCAGUUUUCUACCCUGACAAAAAUAAUUGAGUGAAGGAAUUGCAACUGAUAGCUGCUAGUUACCAGCUGGAAUUGUAUAUGUUGAUAGAAUGAGGAAAAUACAGGGAGAGCAAUGAAUUUAUAUUUCAUUGAGUUUGUCAGUCUUGAAAGCAUUUAUUCUUUUGGAUGUAAAUAUACAAUUAGAUUAAUAGAAAAGUUUCUUUUGAGGUGUUCUUGCUCUGAUGAGGAAAACUAAGCAGUCCUUUGGGAAAAACAAAGGAAGAUCUAGGUCAAAAAUAAAGGUGGGAAUGUAAAAGGAGUUAUGAGCCAAGUUUCUUUCAUAUAUAAUGGGUAUGGAUUAAUAAUUUAGAGAUAGUGAUGAUACGGCUCCAAUGAAUGGAAGAACACCAGGCUUUUUGGUCUUGCGCCAAUGUAGAUAAAAUGACACAGAUACACGUGGAGUGGUUUUAAGGAGCAAAAGGUUUAAUAGGUAAGAAAGAAGAAAAAAGAAAACAGCUCCCCUGUACAGAGACAGAGGGGGGAGGCUUGAAACAAAGACAGACCCCAUGAGCAGCAGGAAAAUGGUUGGUUAUAUCAGAGGCUAGAGGAGGCAGUGUUUGAUUUGCAUGGGCCCAGGGUAUUGGUUUGACCAGGUGUGUCAUUCACAUAGCCCAUGAAAAACCUGGCCCUCCCACCUUAGUUCUUUAAUAUGCAAAUGUGGGUUGCCAUGAUGUUCUGAACACAUGGUGUUAUCCAGAGGUGGCCAUGACACUUGGCACAGGUAGUGACAAGGAGAAGGCAGGAAUUGCCAUAUUUGCCAUGUCAGAUGGGCCUGGUUUUUAAUUGCUGGCAUUUGCAUAUCAAAGCUUGCCAGCCUGGCUCUUUAAGCCACCUUUUCUGUUAGAGAAGAAAUGUUUUGGGCAGUUGUUUUAAUUACAAGAAAAUGUUCACCAAUAACCUUUACCAUUACUAUCUGCCUAAAAGUUAUUUCUUAAUAACUCAUGUAUUACUUCCCCUUUAAAGAGAAGUAAACCUCACUGCUCUUAGAGGGUGUUGGAUGAUGAUUCUUUCUGGCUGCUUCCUGUUGAAAAGGGGUGUCAUGUAGGGGAACAGCAGUUGGGCCUUCUCAUGAGGCUGAUUUAAGGGUUUUGGGAAGAAUGGGGUAACUAUGUUUGGCUUUGUUCGUAGCACAACUCCAGUGUUUGGAGUUUGAUUACCUUUAGGCUAGAAAAGAUAAAUUUUACAAGAAGGUUUAACAUAGAGGGUUAGAAUAUGAGCAUGAAGAUUACCACCAUUAGUGGGAGUCCUAUAGACCAUAACUGACACCUGUUUGUUACACCAAUGGAUGGCAAAACUUGUUUGCCUUUACUAGAUGUCACUGUACAUUACCAGAAACAUUAAUAUAAAAGUAACAUUUUUCUGGAGGAAAAGCAUGUAUUUCCCCCUUGACUUGCCAUUAGAGAGUAACUUUAGGCUUAGGCUAUUUUUAUAACUUGAAAGCUGAUUGGGAGAGAUAUGUUAUUGGUUUGCUAAAAUAACUUUAGCAUUAAUUUUGAUAAUUUCUUUUCUUUAAUUAUUACAUUUUUUAUAACUUCUACAGACCCUACAACAUACUUAAACUUUCUGACUUGUUCUACACAUCUUUUCAUUAAGCAACCCCAGUUAUUUUUUUUUUAGGACAACUAUUUACCAUAGAAAAUUUUUCUGUAUAUAAAAUCUUUUUUUUAAUAACCUUCUUUUCCUAUCUUAAAGUGCAUUGUAUUCACCUCUAGUAAAAUGUCCUGUUAAACUUAAUAAUAGUAAAACUUUUAUACUUUUUAUCUGUAACUAUUACUUUUGCUAUACGCAAAGAAACCUUAAGUCUUUCCUGCAAUUGUUAAUCCUGUUAUAAGGAUGACAGUCAGGCAUAAUGUUACAGCAAUUUGAGUUUUACAACCAGAAUUUCACAUUGUGGGUGCCACAGUGUAUAGUUUUAUUGCAAAUGGUAGCAGGACUAUAACAAUUCCCACAAGAGCAGUAUAGUAAAUAAUUUCUGUUUAAAAUUAUUUUUUUACUUGCCAAGAUAUAAUAUUCUCCUUUGUGUAUUUAUAAGUUAUAAAAAAUCCCAUGUGUAAUAAAAAUUUUCUUGCAAAUGUGAGUUGAAAAGAAGUUUUACUAUUUGGUGUUGAACUUUGAGAGGAAAGGGUAGAAAUAAUGAAACAUAUCUGGUGAGGUAGGAGUGGGAUUAAGAUGAGUAGCCCUCAGUUACUUAUUUUUUAUGCGUUUUAGCUUAAGAUUUUUUAUUUCUUUACAUUGACAUUUAGGAUGUUCCUUUGGGCUGUCAGGGGUUGCUCCCUUAGCUUUUUAGGCUUUGACUUGAGUGUGAUGUAUGCAGAAGUUGAUUUCUAUAACUUUUAUUGCCAAGGGUGUUGAAAGAAAAGCAGUGUGGGGCCCUUUCCAGGUUGGCUUAGGGAAGGAGAGAGAGAUGAGAGUUUUUGCUAAUAAUAAAUGUCCUGGGUUGAAUAAGGGUGGCUUUAUUUUCUGGGGGUUGGGCUUCUGCUAGUUGUGUCAAAUUUUGUUGGAAGUGAUAGAGAGGUUACAUGCUUAAACAAUUUAGAGGUUUUCUGCCAGAAAACAAUAUCUGAGCAUAUCAAUAAGUUUUAUUCUUUCCCAAGUGAAAAGCUUGGUGAAGGAUUUUAAGGACUUUCCAUUGGCUGGAGGCUGGCAAAUGGAGUUUGCCAUUAUUUGACCAUUGCAAUUCUGAAGGCUGGAAAGUAUGCCCUUGAGACGUGGCUUACUUUAUUUCUGUGGGGAAUAUUGAAGUUUAAUUUCUUUUAUGGAGCCUUCCUGUAUUAGAAGGGGUUUGAAGUAUGUUGAUGCCUUGAGGCUUCCUUGCCUUUGACUUAGCUGCCUGAUUAGCUAAUUUAUUGCCUUUGGCAACCUCACUUGUUUCUUUUUGGUAUUCCUGCAAUGCAUUCUUGCUAUUUCUUGUGGAAGAAAGGCUGAGGAUAAUAACCUAUUAAUUUUCUGGUGAUAUUUUACAGGAGAAUCAUUCGUGGUAAGAGAAUGUCUUUCCUUUCAAGUGGCAGCAUGAGCAUGGAAAAUUAGGAAAGCAUACUUGGGGUUAGUAUAAAUGUUAGCUACCUUUCCUUUGCUUAAUUCAAGUGCUCAUGUAAGCGCUAUUAGCUUAGCGAAUUGAGUGCUGUGGCUGGGGAGAGACAUUAUUUAGAGUGACUACUGCUUAUCCUGCCUUAUGUAUUUCUUGUUUUACUGGUCGUUGGCUAAGAGCUUUUUCUAGAUAACGGUAAUUGUGUCACAUUAUGUGGGGUACAAACAGUUAAAUUAUUUCCUAGGGUUAACUUGGAGGCUUUUUUGACCAGUAGAGCUAUUAUAACAAUGGCUUAGAAGCAUGUGUAAAUAAUAGGUCCUCCUAACUGCAACUGAGGUUGAGAAAAAUAUUGGAUUAGAGUUUUUCCUGAGACACACCUUAUGGUCUUGCUAUGGGAAGAGGAGAGGCCCGGAUUCAAGGGGAGAAAAGAGAGAGACUGGCUGUGGUGUUUAGAAGGUUUACUUUCCUUUCUUUCAUUUUCAGAAUUACCCAGGGCUCUAUUCUAUAAUGGCAGUUUGAGCCACUUGGAGCCAGGGCUUGAGCCCCAGGAUCCAUCAGUCCUGCUGGACCUUCUGUGAGACUGGUCCUGAAUCCAGUGACCUCCACCUCUGGGGGCAGUUCUGUCUCCUGUGGUCUCCGCCACAGGCUGGACAGGGUUGAGAUGAUUUUUUCUUGCUGCCUGGCAUUCCUUUUUAAAAUGCCCUGGCUUGCCCCACUGAUAGCAACUAACAAAUGCACCUCGGAGAUCCCGGACUUUGCAAUCCUGCAAAGCUGCCACUAGAGCCUUUGUCCUACUCCUGAGUUUUUCUUUCCCUUUGGGCCUCCUUCUUGUCCCUAUUAUAAAAGACGUUAGGAGGUUUUCUAAGGUACUAUCUGGUCCUAUAGCUUGCUUUUGUAGUUUGUUUCCAAUAUUGAAAGCUGCCUAUGUAAUAAACUUGUUUUUUAGAAUGAGCCGUCCCUUGAUUGAAUUAGGGAAUAAGGAGGUGUAUUCUAUUAGUGCCUUUCUCAACCUUAUCAUUAAAGCUACAGGAUUCUUAUCUGGCUUUUGGUCUAUUAUAGACAGGUUAGAGUAAUUGUUGGCCCUGGUUUUCCAUAGGCCUUCUAAAAUGCAUAUUAAAAAGUGUUUGUUUGUUUGUUUUUUCAUUUGUUUCCUGAGUUAUCAGGGUUUCAAUCAGAGUUGUUUAUAGGAAUUGCUUCUCUCCCAAUUGGGGAUGAUGUGUCUAAUUUCUUUCUUUCUUUCUUUCUUUUUUUUUUUUUUGCUUUUCUUACUUGCUUUCUCCCCUUUUGGUGUAUUGUAGGAGAUAUAUUGCUUACCUCCAAAAUUCUUUGCUGCUUGCAGAGCUGCUUGCUUUUUAGCUGCCAUUAGGGUCUGGUUUAGGAGCAAUAUAACAUCCUUCCAUGUAAGGCAAAAUAUUUGAGUUAAAUUUUGGAAAACUUCUAUACACCUAUUUGGGUCUUUAGAAAAUUGGCCUAAGUUUUCCUUUACUUGCCUACAGUUCUGUAAUUAGAAGGGAACUUGAAGGGGCCCCAAAUAAGGGGGAUUUUUAGAUGGUUCCCCUGGAAGUUGCUUUUUUGAAUUUUGGGGAACUAUUUGCCCUGGGCCUGCCCAAUAAGAUUUAUAAAACAACUGGGUUGAUCUUAUAACAUUUGCAAAGGUUUGGUAAAAAUGCCAUGUCAUUGUGCAAAAGAAAAUGAGCUGCUUUUCUUUUUAAAGUUCUGAGGUUAAGGAAGUUCCAGUGUUUUAGAGUGCACUUCAGAGGGUGUAAGCUGAAGAUAAUUUAUUACCAAUUUAGAAAAAGAAGGAAGAGUAAAAGCAUUGUUUUAGUCUUCUUCUUUUCCUGGUUUUGACCCAGAGUGGAGAAGACAGAGUGUUCUCCAACUGUUUUCCCUUUCUGGUUUUUGGAUCCCAGCAUCAUAUUAAAUGUGCCGCCCACAGUUGAAGGCAUGAUCCUGAUGAACUAAGUGAUGGGACUAAGCAUGCUUAUCCGCCUUGUGUGAUUUCCCCUUUGACUUCCUAAAUUUGUGAUUUGCCUGGCUUUCUGAAAAAUGGAUCUUGGAAAGACUAUGUCACAUUUGGGCAAGGAUUCUUUAGCGGAGGCAAUGUGCUAGAUUGCUUGCUAGUACAGCCCAUGCUAAAGCACUUACCCUUAAAAAAAUGGUUCUGGUUAACUUCCAAACUUAAAAUCCCAUUACUAAUUAAGUAUCGUUUUAAUAGGAAACACUAUAGGUGACUUAACAGAAUGUAGAAACUGAAUGGCUAUUUUUUUGCUGAUGGGAUAAUAUCGAGACUAAAAUUUGGCUACAGAAUAUAUCUUACUCCCAACUACUAAAAGCAGAACUUUUCUGUUCACAGAAGUAGCAGUAGAAAAA